UUGUUGAAUGGGUUGCAGUAUUAUAUGC
Molecule: small RNA, 28 nt
Filed under: Bombyx mori (domestic silkworm)
Lineage: Eukaryota; Metazoa; Arthropoda; Insecta; Lepidoptera; Bombycidae
Description: ovarian small RNA-38182
Source: RNAcentral